RNAcentral lists this ribosomal RNA (686 nucleotides) under uncultured bacterium. RNAcentral's name for it is "bacterial SSU rRNA". It matches the Rfam family "Bacterial small subunit ribosomal RNA", at positions 165 to 852 of the family's 1533-position model. The record is from RNAcentral.
AAUGCCCCAUGGUGAUGUCCUCAGGCAUCUGAGGUCAUCUAAAGAUCCGUCGGAUGGGGAUAGGCUCGCGUGACAUUAGCUAGACGGCGGGGUAACGGCCCACCGUGGCGACGAUGUCUAGGGGUUCUGAGAGGAAGGUCCCCCACACUGGAACUGAGACACGGUCCAGACUCCUACGGGAGGCAGCAGUGAGGAAUAUUGGUCAAUGGCCGGAAGGCUGAACCAGCCAUGCCGCGUGAAGGUCAGUGCCCUAUGGGCGUUAAACUUCUUUUGUGCGGGAGCAAUAAUGGUCACGUGUGGCCAGACGAGAGUACCGUACGAAUAAGCAUCGGCUAACUCCGUGCCAGCAGCCGCGGUAAUACGGGGGAUGCAAGCGUUAUCCGGAUUUAUUGGGUUUAAAGGGUGCGUAGGCUGUGAGGUAAGUCAGCGGUGAAAUGCCCCCGCUCAACGGGGUGAAGUGCCAUUGAUACUGCCUUGCUGGAAUGCGGAUGCCGUGGGAGGAAUGUGUGGUGUAGCGGUGAAAUGCAUAGAUAUCACACAGAACACCGAUUGCGAAGGCAUCUCACGAAUCCGCGAUUGACGCUGAUGCACGAAAGCGUGGGUAUCAAACAGGAUUAGAUACCCUGGUAGUCCACGCUGUAAACGAUAAUGACUAACCGUCGGCGAUACACAGUCGGUGGCCCAGC